Molecule: small nuclear RNA, 107 nt
Filed under: Meriones unguiculatus (Mongolian gerbil)
Lineage: Eukaryota; Metazoa; Chordata; Mammalia; Rodentia; Muridae
Source: RNAcentral
GUGUUUGCUUCGGCAGCACAUAUACUAAAAUUAGAACAAUAUAGAGAAGAUUAGCAUGGCCCCUGUGCAAGGAAGACAGGCAAAUUCAUGAAGCGUUCCUUAUUUUU